GAAAGCCGUAGGGUUGUGGGCAAGCGAUGGCCGCUGUGUCUGUAGUUACACCAGCACGUGAGAGUGGGGCUAACAGGCUCCUUCAUACGUGUUUAUUCAACACGUAUUUAUUGAACUCGUUCUUACGCCAGAUUUUUGCCACAUGUUGCUGUGUGAUUUCAAGUUAUUCCUUGAAAGGCUAGAAAAUUUACUUUUCAUCAUUAAUACGUUGCCGUUGGGACUUGAAAAGGAUGAGCCUGAAUGCUGUGUGAUUGUUAGAAUCACUGGUACAACCAGCAGAGACUGAUCUCGAGACAAGCAUCUUCAAUGGAGGAGAAACUAAAGACUGGAGGGCACGAACUCCACAAUUGUAGAGGUGUUCUCUCCAGCUCAAAACAACGGUGCAUUGACUGGACAGAAACGCCAAUUGCUAGCACUAAGCCCUGCCGAGUGAACAGGGGAAUUCAAAGAGGCCUGCACUAUGGAAACUGGCACAUUUCAACAGUGUUAAAAUUUACAGUCAACUUUUUUUUUUUCCAGUUUAAAAUGGUUUCCAGCAUCUUCAAACAGCAACUGGUAUAAAAUUUUGAAUAUGUGCUUGUUUUAAGUUCUUAAUCUUUACAUUUAAAACAGUUAUUCCUAAACCCCUUUGCUUAAUUGCAAAACAAAU
This 649-nucleotide long non-coding RNA is filed under the name Equus asinus (donkey). RNAcentral's name for it is "lncRNA (ENSEASG00005035170.1)". The record is from RNAcentral. Lineage: Eukaryota; Metazoa; Chordata; Mammalia; Perissodactyla; Equidae.